GGGGCUAGCGUUGCUCGGAAUCACUGGUGCGUAAAGGGCGCGUAGGCGGCCGAUUAAGUCGGGGGUGAAAGCCUGUGGCUCAACCACAGAAUUGCCUUCGAUACCGGUUGGCUUGAGACCGGAAGAGGACAGCGGAACUGCGAGUGUAGAGGUGAAAUUCGUAGAUAUUCGCAAGAACACCGGUGGCGAAGGCGGGUCUCUGGGCAGUAACUGACGCUGAGAAGCGAAAGCGUGGGGAGCGAACAGGAUUAGAUACCCUGGUAGUCCACGCCGUAAACGGUGGGUACUAGGUGUGGGUUUCCUUCCUUGGGAUCCGUGCCGUAGCUAACGCAUUAAGUACCCCGCCUGGGGAGUACGGCCGCGAGGCUAAAACUCAAAGGAAUUGACGGGGGCCCGCACAAGCGGCGGAGCAUGUGGAUUAAUUCGAUGCAACGCGAAGAACCUUACCUGGUUUGACAUGCACAGGACGCGUCUAGAGAUAGGCGUUCCCUUGUGGCCUGUGUGCAGGUGGUGCAUGGCUGUCGUCAGCUCGUGUCGUGAGAUGUUGGGUUAAGUCCCGCAACGAGCGCAACCCUUGUCUCAUGUUGCCAGCGGGUAAUGCCGGGGACUCGUGAGAGACUGCCGGGGUCAACUCGGAGGAAGGUGGGGAUGACGUCAAGUCAUCAUGCCCCUUAUGUCCAGGGCUUCACACAUGCUACAAUGGCCGGUACAAAGGGCUGCGAUGCCGUAAGGUUAAGCGAAUCCUUUUAAAGCCGGUCUCAGUUCGGAUUGGGGUCUGCAACUCGACCCCAUGAAGUCGGAGUC
This 804-nucleotide ribosomal RNA is filed under the name uncultured Mycobacterium sp. RNAcentral describes it as "bacterial SSU rRNA". It matches the Rfam family "Bacterial small subunit ribosomal RNA", at positions 531 to 1333 of the family's 1533-position model. Lineage: Bacteria; Bacillati; Actinomycetota; Actinomycetes; Mycobacteriales; Mycobacteriaceae. The record is from RNAcentral.